This is a long non-coding RNA of Asterias rubens (European starfish), 814 nucleotides long. RefSeq lists it as uncharacterized. Lineage: Eukaryota; Metazoa; Echinodermata; Asteroidea; Forcipulatida; Asteriidae. The transcript has 4 exons. The record is from RefSeq and is a predicted model, not a curated record.
CCUCGAUCAUGGGCCUUCUUCACCUCAAGACCUACUGGUAAUUUGGUGACAUGGAGCGUUAAGGACCAGUUACUGAGAUGAUGCCAUUCACCCAAGGAGUUGGUGCCUUUGAUGAGACUAUGAUGUGUGGGAUGUAGGCAUUCUGCUGUGAUCCUUGAAGGAGUUUGAUACAAGAUGCAUAAAGGAGCUGGGAUGAUUUCAUUUUUCUAAGGAGGUGGUGCGCUCUGGGACCCUGAUGUUGAUGAGUCUUCAUUCUUGUGGCACAUGAUAAAUGUACUUUGAUCUAUAAAGAGACUCCUAGUUACAAGAUCAUCUCCCACAAGAUGAACAUAAGGCCGUCUUGAUCUUCUCAGUUGCUUACCGCUGCUCGAGGACAAACCUGGACCCAAUUUCAUAGGGUCUUUUCUGCCAUCUGUCAUUCGGAAUGCAGAUGCAAAAAGUAAAACAAAAUAAACAAAUGUUUCAACAAAUGUUCAAAUUUGUCCGAUCAAAAAAUGCAUUUCUGGUAUUUUAUUUCCUUUUGGAAACUGCAUAAGAAAGGCAGAAAAGACCCUUGGGGAAACAGAGAAAUGUUACCCUCGACUGAGCAUUUUGGUUUACAAAUCAUUGAUCUACACAAAUUGGCCUUGUAGUUGUGUGGUUUUAAUUUUUGAGAAAAAGUUAAUUUCUCACUAAAAUAUUUGAAUCUGAGAAAGACUUCAGGCAUGGUUUCUUUCUCAGGGAUCUAAUAGAGCAGAAAUUUCGUGCAACAAGGGUGUUUAUUUUUUUGCAGUUGACCAAAUGUACCAAUAUUUUCACAGAUUUAUCAUUUUAU